GGGUAUAUAAGGCUUACUGAAUAACGUAUUGUUCAACAGUAAGGCAGCAAACUUGGCAGACGCUAAAUUGUUAAAUUACAUUUUCUUCGUGUUGAAAUACUUGUUCGAUAAGUCGGCAAACAUGGCGUUAAAUGCGUGCAUUUUGUUAGUAAGUAUUGUUCUCCUGACAGUCUUUUGUCUUCCUACAGCACUCGCCGGUGGUGGCAAUUGCUGGGCGGCACCAAUCGUUUAUGGACCCAAGUGCAGUUCUGACACAUCUAUAUGGGGAAGACGCGGCCACAAAAUUCGGUAUUCAGUCAGCGUAAUCGGGGACACACUAAUAUGUUGCAAGGCAUUCUAUGGCAAAGGUAAUAACUACGGGCUGCAUGAUGUCGGAUGUGGCCACGGGAGUUGGAGUACCACUAGUUUGAACUGGGGCAAUGCUAUUGCUACACCACAAAUGAAAUGUAAAGGCAUUCCUUUGGGAUCUGGAUACUCAUUUGAUCACUGAUAGCUGCAUUUUACAAACAUACAAUAACUAUUGCAAUACUUGUAAACGAUAAACUUGACUAAUUGUUGUUAUGGAUGCGUUUUAUGAAAAGAACAUUUCUUAUUCAUUCUUUGUGUGUUUGUCUUCCGAAACUGUCCAAGUUACCAUCACGGGCGGGCACCUGAUUAGAACCACCGACCACCUUAUGUAAACAAACAAGGAUAAAUAUCCAACAGGGAAUGUCACGUUCCAAAAACAAGCCGAAUGGCGUCCUCACAUUAAAGAAUUCUACAAAUCAAGCGAGAUUUCGAACCCACAAGGAGGGGGACAAGUGAUUCAGAGUCAGCGGUUUUAACCACUUUUUCACGGAGGUCUAUGCAUACUGAGCUUGCCAAUAAAACAUCUUAAGGGAAGGGCCGUUUACUAAUGUUGGCAGAACUUGUGGCCCGACCCUAUUGCUAUAAUUCAAUUGACUGUAAAUAUCUAUAUGUUGCUGUAAUUAUAUAUAUACAUGUAUUAUAAGCAAUAAAAUAUGUUUAAACUAAUGAAACAUCUUAAAGAAAUCAUAAUUUUCAUUUGAUUUAACAUCUUUACGACUCAGUAUUAUGAUAAUGCGAAAACAUAUUUUACACAAAUGGGAGACAAUUUUACAUGCUAAGUAUACAUCUCACAGUUUACACUUUCAACAAUUAGAAUCCUUGUGAGAUUUAACUACUGAAAAAGAAACACUUACUAGUAUUUGGAUAUAAAGUAUCACAAUAACGGUUACCAUUUAAAAUGUAAAGUAAAACCGCAACAAAAGUCACUUCUAGAAUA
Long non-coding RNA from Mercenaria mercenaria, 1285 nucleotides. RefSeq lists it as uncharacterized. NCBI's taxonomy places the organism in Eukaryota, Metazoa, Mollusca, Bivalvia, Venerida, Veneridae. The transcript is spliced from 3 exons. The record is from RefSeq and is a predicted model, not a curated record.